This 347-nucleotide ribosomal RNA is filed under the name uncultured bacterium. RNAcentral describes it as "partial 16S ribosomal RNA". It matches the Rfam family "Bacterial small subunit ribosomal RNA", at positions 338 to 699 of the family's 1533-position model. The record is from RNAcentral.
CCUACGGGAGGCAGCAGUGGGGAAUAUUGGGCAAUGGAGGCAACUCUGACCCAGCCACGCCGCGUGAAUGAUGACGGUCUUCGGAUUGUAAAGUUGUGUGAUGGGGGAGGAACACAAUGACGGUACCCCAAUAGCAAGCCACGGCUAACUACGUGCCAGCAGCCGCGGUCAUACGUAGGUGGCAAGCGUUAUCCGGAAUCACUGGGCGUAAAGGGUGCGUAGGUGGUUUAAUAAGUUGGCGGUGAAAUUCCGGGGCUCAACCCCGGCGCUACCGCCAAUACUAUUAGUCUAGAGUGCAGGAGGGGUAAGUGGAAUGCAUAGUGUAGCGGUGGAAUGCUUAGAGAUUA